Long non-coding RNA from Anoplophora glabripennis (Asian longhorned beetle), 302 nucleotides. RefSeq lists it as uncharacterized. Lineage: Eukaryota; Metazoa; Arthropoda; Insecta; Coleoptera; Cerambycidae. The record is from RefSeq and is a predicted model, not a curated record. The transcript has 2 exons.
GAAAAUAUAUCGAUAGCUACUUAGUCUUAAACGAAUACUGUAUAUAGUAUUGUAACAUAAGUUUAAAACAAACAGUCUCAGAACUAAAAAGAAUGAUGGGGAAACAAAUGUUUUCACUGGACAUAAAUGGUAUACAAACUACAAAUAAAUAUGGCACACGUUUCGAGGAAAUAAACAACCUAGUCACUAAAAUAAAAUUUCUUAAUAAUUAAUUUAUAUUUAUUAAUGUAAAUUUUUUUGUUCCUUGGAACAUAACGUAAGUAUUGUAUACUCAAUAAAAACUGUCAAUGUACGAUAACAAA